Molecule: ribosomal RNA, 469 nt
Filed under: uncultured bacterium
Lineage: Bacteria
Description: SSU rRNA
Rfam family: Bacterial small subunit ribosomal RNA
Source: RNAcentral
AGCCUGAACGCUGGCGGCGUGGCUAAGACAUGCAAGUCGUACGGGUGUAGCAAUACACCAGUGGCGGACGGGUGAGUAAUGUAUCGCUAACGUGCCCCCCAGUCCGGGAUAGCCGAGGGAAACUUCGGGUAAUACCGGUUGACAUCACGAUCAGGCAUCUGAUUGUGCUCAAAGGGAAACCGCUGGAGGAGCGGGCGAUAUCGUAUCAGCUAGUUGGCGGGGUAACGGCCCACCAAGGCGACGACGCGUAGCCGGACUGAGAGGUUGGCCGGCCACAUUGGGACUGAGACACUGCCCAGACUCCUACGGGGGCUGCAGUAACGAAUCUUCCGCAAUGCACGCAAGUGUGACGGAGCGACGCCGCGUGUGGGACGAAGCCCCUCGGGGUGUAAACCACUGUCAGGGGAUAGAAAGUUCUGAUCAUCCCCAGAGGAAGGCACGGCUAACUCUGUGCCAGCAGCCGCGGUAA